GACAGGGGGUGCAAACGUUGUUCGGAAUUACUGGGCGUAAAGCGCACGUAGGCGGAUCGUUAAGUCGGGGGUGAAAUCCUGGAGCUCAACUCCAGAACUGCCUUCGAUACUGGCGAUCUUGAGUCCGGAAGAGGUGUGUGGAACUCCUAGUGUAGAGGUGGAAUUCGUAGAUAUUAGGAAGAACACCAGUGGCGAAGGCGGCUCACUGGCCCGGUACUGACGCUGAGGUGCGAAAGCGUGGGGAGCAAACAGG
This 253-nucleotide ribosomal RNA is filed under the name uncultured bacterium. Its description in RNAcentral is "partial 16S ribosomal RNA". It matches the Rfam family "Bacterial small subunit ribosomal RNA", at positions 524 to 776 of the family's 1533-position model. The record is from RNAcentral.